RNAcentral lists this long non-coding RNA (321 nucleotides) under Capsicum annuum. Its description in RNAcentral is "long non-coding RNA (CANN_LNC008271)". Lineage: Eukaryota; Viridiplantae; Streptophyta; Magnoliopsida; Solanales; Solanaceae. The record is from RNAcentral.
GUUCAACCAUUUAAAAUCAUCCAAAUCUAAUACACACAAUCAUACACAUAUAAAUGCACAUAAAUAUAUCAUGUCAGGAUAGAGAAUAAGGCUUAGCAUGAACUUUAAGACAUUAUCCUAGACUAUGUAGCUCAAAUAUCAUAAAAAGGAACCUAUGAUCUAUAUGGGAUCAACUCUCCCUACUAAAAGGGCCCCAGUAUGUGUAGCUGCACGAACCAGAGAAUAAUCAUUUGUACAUAAGUAACAUAGGGGACUCAAACCACCCAAUCAUAAAUCAAGGGUGACAUGAACACCUGGUAAGUUAACAAGGGUGACUCGAAC